AACGUAGGUCACAAGCGUUGUUCGGAAUUACUGGGUGUAAAGGGAGCGCAGGCGGGAAGACAAGUUGGAAGUGAAAUCUAUGGGCUCAACCCAUAAACUGCUUUCAAAACUGUUUUUCUUGAGUAGUGCAGAGGUAGGCGGAAUUCCCGGUGUAGCGGUGGAAUGCGUAGAUAUCGGGAGGAACACCAGUGGCGAAGGCGGCCUACUGGGCACCAACUGACGCUGAGGCUCGAAAGUGUGGGUAGCAAACAGG
This 253-nucleotide ribosomal RNA is filed under the name Faecalibacterium prausnitzii. RNAcentral describes it as "partial 16S ribosomal RNA". It matches the Rfam family "Bacterial small subunit ribosomal RNA", at positions 524 to 776 of the family's 1533-position model. Lineage: Bacteria; Bacillati; Bacillota; Clostridia; Eubacteriales; Oscillospiraceae. The record is from RNAcentral.